UUGACUGCGAGCGUGACGGCGCGAGCAGGUGCGAAAGCAGGUCAUAGUGAUCCGGUGGUUCUGAAUGGAAGGGCCAUCGCUCAACGGAUAAAAGGUACUCCGGGGAUAACAGGCUGAUACCGCCCAAGAGUUCAUAUCGACGGCGGUGUUUGGCACCUCGAUGUCGGCUCAUCACAUCCUGGGGCUGAAGUAGGUCCCAAGGGUAUGGCUGUUCGCCAUUUAAAGUGGUACGCGAGCUGGGUUUAGAACGUCGUGAGACAGUUCGGUCCCUAUCUGCCGUGGGCGCUGGAGAACUGAGGGGGGCUGCUCCUAGUACGAGAGGACCGGAGUGGACGCAUCACUGGUGUUCGGGUUGUCAUGCCAAUGGCACUGCCCGGUAGCUAAAUGCGGAAGAGAUAAGUGCUGAAAGCAUCUAAGCACGAAACUUGCCCCGAGAUGAGUUCUCCCUGACUCCUUGAGAGUCCUGAAGGAACGUUGAAGACGACGACGUUGAUAGGCCGGGUGUGUAAGCGCAGCGAUGCGUUGAGCUAACCGGUACUAAUGAACCGUGAGGCUUAACCUUACAACGCCGAAG
RNAcentral lists this ribosomal RNA (574 nucleotides) under Escherichia coli. RNAcentral's name for it is "partial 23S ribosomal RNA". It matches the Rfam family "Bacterial large subunit ribosomal RNA", at positions 2369 to 2925 of the family's 2925-position model. Lineage: Bacteria; Pseudomonadati; Pseudomonadota; Gammaproteobacteria; Enterobacterales; Enterobacteriaceae. The record is from RNAcentral.